This 497-nucleotide ribosomal RNA is filed under the name uncultured bacterium. Its description in RNAcentral is "partial 16S ribosomal RNA". It matches the Rfam family "Bacterial small subunit ribosomal RNA", at positions 28 to 507 of the family's 1533-position model. The record is from RNAcentral.
GACGAACGCUGGCGGCGUGCCUAAUACAUGCAAGUAGAACGCUGAAGAGAGGAGCUUGCUCUUCUUGGAUGAGUUGCGAACGGGUGAGUAACGCGUAGGUAACCUGCCUUGUAGCGGGGGAUAACUAUUGGAAACGAUAGCUAAUACCGCAUAACAAUGGAUGACACAUGUCAUUUAUUUGAAAGGGGCAAUUGCUCCACUACAAGAUGGACCUGCGUUGUAUUAGCUAGUAGGUGAGGUAAUGGCUCACCUAGGCGACGAUACAUAGCCGACCUGAGAGGGUGGUCGGCCACACUGGGACUGAGACACGGCCCAGACUCCUACGGGAGGCAGCAGGAGGGAAUCUUCGGCAAUGGGGGCAACCCUGACCGAGCAACGCCGCGUGAGUGAAGAAGGUUUUCGGAUCGUAAAGCUCUGUUGUAAGUCAAGAACGGGUGUGAGAGUGGAAAGUUCACACUGUGACGGUAGCUGACCAGAAAGGGACGGCUAACUACGUG